This 253-nucleotide ribosomal RNA is filed under the name uncultured bacterium. RNAcentral's name for it is "partial 16S ribosomal RNA". It matches the Rfam family "Bacterial small subunit ribosomal RNA", at positions 524 to 776 of the family's 1533-position model. The record is from RNAcentral.
GACAGAGGGGGCAAGCGUUGCUCGGAAUUACUGGGCGUAAAGGGCGCGUAGGCGGGAUGGCAAGUCGGUCGUGAAAUCCUUCGGCUCAACCGAAGAACGUCGAUCGAUACUGCUGUUCUUGAGGGUUGCAGAGGAGUCUGGAAUUCCCGGUGUAGCGGUGAAAUGUGUAGAGAUCGGGAGGAACACCGGUGGCGAAAGCGGCGCGCUGGACCACAACUGACGCUGAGGAACGAAAGCUAGGGGAGCAAACAGG